Molecule: long non-coding RNA, 120 nt
Organism: Nomascus leucogenys (northern white-cheeked gibbon)
Lineage: Eukaryota; Metazoa; Chordata; Mammalia; Primates; Hylobatidae
Source: Rfam
ACUAGAGCCAAAUCUAUCUCAAAAGUUUAGGUCACUUUUUUUUCCUUUUUGAUAGUAUUGAAUGAGAAAUAACACUUUAAAUAAAACUUUUUCCAUGAGGAAGGUACAGUAAUUAUCCAU